RNAcentral lists this ribosomal RNA (253 nucleotides) under uncultured bacterium. RNAcentral describes it as "partial 16S ribosomal RNA". It matches the Rfam family "Bacterial small subunit ribosomal RNA", at positions 524 to 776 of the family's 1533-position model. The record is from RNAcentral.
UACGUAGGGUGCAAGCGUUGUCCGGAAUUAUUGGGCGUAAAGAGCUCGUAGGCGGUUAGUCGCGUCUGCUGUGAAAACUCGGGGCUUAACUCCGGGCCUGCAGUGGGUACGGGCUGACUAGAGUGCGGUAGGGGAGACUGGAAUUCCUGGUGUAGCGGUGAAAUGCGCAGAUAUCAGGAGGAACACCGGUGGCGAAGGCGGGUCUCUGGGUCGUAACUGACGCUGAGGAGCGAAAGCGUGGGGAGCGAACAGG